Molecule: ribosomal RNA, 253 nt
Filed under: uncultured bacterium
Lineage: Bacteria
Description: partial 16S ribosomal RNA
Rfam family: Bacterial small subunit ribosomal RNA
Source: RNAcentral
UACGUAGGGGGCAAGCGUUGUUCGGAAUUACUGGGCGUAAAGCGCGCGUAGGCGGUUUGUCGCGUCUGCCGUGAAAGUCCGGGGCUCAACUCCGGAUCUGCGGUGGGUACGGGCAGACUAGAGUGAUGUAGGGGAGACUGGAAUUCCUGGUGUAGCGGUGAAAUGCGCAGAUAUCAGGAGGAACACCGAUGGCGAAGGCAGGUCUCUGGGCCGUAACUGACGCUGAGGAGCGAAAGCGUGGGGAGCGAACAGG